CGGGGGGAGCAAGCGUUGUUCGGAUUUACUGGGCGUAAAGGGCGCGUAGGCGGCCAGCACAAGUCAGUUGUGAAAUCUCCGGGCUUAACUCGGAACGGUCAACUGGUACUGUGCGGCUAGAGUGCAGAAGGGGCAACUGGAAUUCUCGGUGUAGCGGUGAAAUGCGUAGAUAUCGAGAGGAACACCUGCGGCGAAGGCGGGUUGCUGGGCUGACACUGACGCUGAUGCGCGAUAGCCAGGGGAGCGAACGGGAUUAGAUACCCCGGUAGUCCUGGCCUUAAACGAUGGAUGCUUGGUGUCUGGAGUUUUAUAGUCUCCGGGUGCCGUAGCUAACGCGUUAAGCAUCCCGCCUGGGGAGUACGGUCGCAAGACUG
RNAcentral lists this ribosomal RNA (374 nucleotides) under uncultured organism. RNAcentral's name for it is "bacterial SSU rRNA". It matches the Rfam family "Bacterial small subunit ribosomal RNA", at positions 526 to 896 of the family's 1533-position model. The record is from RNAcentral.